GAUGAACGCUGGCGGCGUGCCUAAUACAUGCAAGUCGAGCGAACAGACGAGGAGCUUGCUCCUCUGACGUUAGCGGCGGACGGGUGAGUAACACGUGGAUAACCUACCUAUAAGACUGGGAUAACUUCGGGAAACCGGAGCUAAUACCGGAUAAUAUAUUGAACCGCAUGGUUCAAUAGUGAAAGACGGUUUUGCUGUCACUUAUAGAUGGAUCCGCGCCGCAUUAGCUAGUUGGUAAGGUAACGGCUUACCAAGGCGACGAUGCGUAGCCGACCUGAGAGGGUGAUCGGCCACACUGGAACUGAGACACGGUCCAGACUCCUACGGGAGGCAGCAGUAGGGAAUCUUCCGCAAUGGGCGAAAGCCUGACGGAGCAACGCCGCGUGAGUGAUGAAGUUCUUCGGAUCGUAAAACUCUGUUAUUAGGGAAGAACAAAUGUGUAAGUAACUAUGCACGUCUUGACGGUACCUAAUCAGAAAGCCACGGCUAACUACG
Molecule: ribosomal RNA, 495 nt
Filed under: uncultured bacterium
Lineage: Bacteria
Description: partial 16S ribosomal RNA
Rfam family: Bacterial small subunit ribosomal RNA
Source: RNAcentral